UACGUAGGUGGCGAGCGUUAUCCGGAAUGAUUGGGCGUAAAGGGUGCGCAGGCGGAUUUUUAAGUCAGCGGUCAAAUCGUGGGGCUCAACCCCAUCCAGCCGUUGAAACUGGGGAUCUAGAGUGUGCGAGAGGUAUGCGGAAUGCGCGGUGUAGCGGUGAAAUGCAUAGAUAUCGCGCAGAACUCCGAUUGCGAAGGCAGCAUGCCGGCUCCACACUGACGCUGAGGCACGAAAGCGUGGGUAUCGAACAGG
RNAcentral lists this ribosomal RNA (252 nucleotides) under uncultured Bacteroidales bacterium. RNAcentral's name for it is "partial 16S ribosomal RNA". It matches the Rfam family "Bacterial small subunit ribosomal RNA", at positions 524 to 776 of the family's 1533-position model. Lineage: Bacteria; Pseudomonadati; Bacteroidota; Bacteroidia; Bacteroidales. The record is from RNAcentral.